RNAcentral lists this ribosomal RNA (447 nucleotides) under uncultured bacterium. RNAcentral describes it as "SSU rRNA". It matches the Rfam family "Bacterial small subunit ribosomal RNA", at positions 26 to 518 of the family's 1533-position model. The record is from RNAcentral.
AGAGCGAACGCUGGCGGCAGGCUUAACACAUGCAAGUCGAGCGGGCGUAGCAAGUACGUCAGCGGCAGACGGGUGAGUAACGCGUGGGAACGUACCUUUUGGUUCGGAACAACCCAGGGAAACUUGGGCUAAUACCGGAUAAGCCCUUACGGGGAAAGAUUUAUCGCCGAAAGAUCGGCCCGCGUCUGAUUAGCUAGUUGGUGAGGUAAUGGCUCACCAAGGCGACGAUCAGUAGCUGGUCUGAGAGGAUGAUCAGCCACAUUGGGACUGAGACACGGCCCAAACUCCUACGGGAGGCAGCAGUGGGAAUAUGGACAAUGGGCGCAAGCCUGAUCCAGCCAUGCCGCGUGAGUGAUGAAGGCCCUAGGGUUGUAAAGCUCUUUUGUGCGGGAAGAUAAUGACGGUACCGCAAGAAUAAGCCCCGGCUAACUUCGUGCCAGCAGCCGC